GUCCUUGUUCAUGUUCCAAUAUAUUGUAUAAAUUUGCUGGGUCCAAAUUUUGGGGUUUUCGAGUCGUUUAAUACAAAAAGAAAAACAUUAAUUCAACACGUACGAAAGUCCAGAGUGCGACACAAAAAUGAACACAAGUACACAACGGAUUUUUAUGAGUCUACAACGUAUAUUUAUAGUUGUUUACUAAAGUCAAACUGUCAAACCUUUAACUUGUCCUUGUUACUUGUAUUCCACUAUAUUCUAUGUUAGGAUAGGGAGAUAGGGACUCAGGAGGUCUGAAACUGGUAAUUGUGCGCGUGCGUACAAGUGUAUGCGCUAAUAAAGAAAGAUGUACCACAAGCAUGGCAUCAGCCGGCUACUACGUACAUAGAUACGAGUUUGUUACGAUGAAAAGUAAAUCAAGCAGUCGAGAAAUCGAUGGCAUUUGAACCGAUGGCAUUUUGGCUUAAUCGUUGCACCUUGAGCCUUCGAUGCGCUAACGCAAACUCCAUUUCUCGAC
Molecule: non-coding RNA, 502 nt
Organism: Paramuricea clavata
Lineage: Eukaryota; Metazoa; Cnidaria; Anthozoa; Malacalcyonacea; Plexauridae
Source: the annotation of a GenBank genome assembly